UACAGAGGUCCCAAGCGUUGUUCGGAUUCACUGGGCGUAAAGGGUGCGUAGGUGGCCGGGUAAGUUUGAUGUGAAAGCUCGGAGCUUAACUCCGAAAUGGCAUUGAAUACUAUCCGGCUUGAGGGUCGGAGGGGAGACUGGAAUUCUCGGUGUAGCAGUGAAAUGCGUAGAUAUCGAGAGGAACACCAGUGGCGAAGGCGAGUCUCUGGACGACAUCUGACACUGAGGCACGAAAGCUAGGGGAGCAAACAGG
Molecule: ribosomal RNA, 253 nt
Filed under: uncultured prokaryote
Description: partial 16S ribosomal RNA
Rfam family: Bacterial small subunit ribosomal RNA
Source: RNAcentral